GACGAACGCUGGCGGCGUGCUUAACACAUGCAAGUCGAACGGAAAGGCCCUGCUUUUGUGGGGUGCUCGAGUGGCGAACGGGUGAGUAACACGUGAGUAACCUGCCCUUGACUUUGGGAUAACUUCAGGAAACUGGGGCUAAUACCGGAUAGGAGCUCCUGCUGCAUGGUGGGGGUUGGAAAGUUUCGGCGGUUGGGGAUGGACUCGCGGCUUAUCAGCUUGUUGGUGGGGUAGUGGCUUACCAAGGCUUUGACGGGUAGCCGGCCUGAGAGGGUGACCGGCAACAUUGGGACUGAGAUACGGCCCAGACUCCUACGGGAGGGAGCAGUGGGGAAUAUUGCACAAUGGGCGGAAGCCUGAUGCAGCAACGCCGCGUGCGGGAUGACGGCCUUCGGGUUGUAAACCGCUUUCGCCUGUGACGAAGCGUGAGUGACGGUAAUGGGUAAAGAAGCACCGGCUAACUACGUG
RNAcentral lists this ribosomal RNA (468 nucleotides) under uncultured bacterium. RNAcentral's name for it is "partial 16S ribosomal RNA". It matches the Rfam family "Bacterial small subunit ribosomal RNA", at positions 28 to 507 of the family's 1533-position model. The record is from RNAcentral.